This 1460-nucleotide ribosomal RNA is filed under the name Staphylococcus aureus. Its description in RNAcentral is "16S ribosomal RNA". It matches the Rfam family "Bacterial small subunit ribosomal RNA". The record is from RNAcentral. Lineage: Bacteria; Bacillati; Bacillota; Bacilli; Caryophanales; Staphylococcaceae.
GCCUAAUACAUGCAAGUCGAGCGAACGGACGAGAAGCUUGCUUCUCUGAUGUUAGCGGCGGACGGGUGAGUAACACGUGGAUAACCUACCUAUAAGACUGGGAUAACUUCGGGAAACCGGAGCUAAUACCGGAUAAUAUUUUGAACCGCAUGGUUCAAAAGUGAAAGACGGUCUUGCUGUCACUUAUAGAUGGAUCCGCGCUGCAUUAGCUAGUUGGUAAGGUAACGGCUUACCAAGGCAACGAUGCAUAGCCGACCUGAGAGGGUGAUCGGCCACACUGGAACUGAGACACGGUCCAGACUCCUACGGGAGGCAGCAGUAGGGAAUCUUCCGCAAUGGGCGAAAGCCUGACGGAGCAACGCCGCGUGAGUGAUGAAGGUCUUCGGAUCGUAAAACUCUGUUAUUAGGGAAGAACAUAUGUGUAAGUAACUGUGCACAUCUUGACGGUACCUAAUCAGAAAGCCACGGCUAACUACGUGCCAGCAGCCGCGGUAAUACGUAGGUGGCAAGCGUUAUCCGGAAUUAUUGGGCGUAAAGCGCGCGUAGGCGGUUUUUUAAGUCUGAUGUGAAAGCCCACGGCUCAACCGUGGAGGGUCAUUGGAAACUGGAAAACUUGAGUGCAGAAGAAGAAAGUGGAGUUCCAUGUGUAGCGGUGAAAUGCGCAAAGAUAUGGAGGAACACCACUGGCGAGGCGACUUUCUGGUCUGUAACUGACGCUGAUGUGCGAAAGCGUGGGGAUCAAACAGGAUUAGAUACCCUGGUAGUCCACGCCGUAAACGAUGAGUGCUAAGUGUUAGGGGGUUUCCGCCCCUUAGUGCUGCAGCUAACGCAUUAAGCACUCCGCCUGGGGAGUACGACCGCAAGGUUGAAACUCAAAGGAAUUGACGGGGACCCGCACAAGCGGUGGAGCAUGUGGUUUAAUUCGAAGCAACGCGAAGAACCUUACCAAAUCUUGACAUCCUUUGACAACUCUAGAGAUAGAGCCUUCCCCUUCGGGGGACAAAGUGACAGGUGGUGCAUGGUUGUCGUCAGCUCGUGUCGUGAGAUGUUGGGUUAAGUCCCGCAACGAGCGCAACCCUUAAGCUUAGUUGCCAUCAUUAAGUUGGGCACUCUAAGUUGACUGCCGGUGACAAACCGGAGGAAGGUGGGGAUGACGUCAAAUCAUCAUGCCCCUUAUGAUUUGGGCUACACACGUGCUACAAUGGACAAUACAAAGGGCAGCGAAACCGCGAGGUCAAGCAAAUCCCAUAAAGUUGUUCUCAGUUCGGAUUGUAGUCUGCAACUCGACUACAUGAAGCUGGAAUCGCUAGUAAUCGUAGAUCAGCAUGCUACGGUGAAUACGUUCCCGGGUCUUGUACACACCGCCCGUCACACCACGAGAGUUUGUAACACCCGAAGCCGGUGGAGUAACCUUUUAGGAGCUAGCCGUCGAAUGUGGGACAAAUGAUUGGCGUGAAGUC